This 598-nucleotide ribosomal RNA is filed under the name uncultured bacterium. Its description in RNAcentral is "bacterial SSU rRNA". It matches the Rfam family "Bacterial small subunit ribosomal RNA", at positions 73 to 649 of the family's 1533-position model. The record is from RNAcentral.
GUUUCCUUCGGGAGGCGAGUAAAGCGGCGGACGGGUGCGUAACACGUGGAUGACCUGCCUGAGAGUGGGGAAUAACCCGGGGAAACCUGGACUAAUACCGCAUACGCUCGUGUGGUUGCGACCAUGCGAGGAAAGUUGGCCUCUGUUUUCAAGCUGACGCUCACAGAGGGGUCCGCGCCUGAUUAGCUUGUUGGUGGGGUAAUGGCCUACCAAGGCAACGAUCAGUAGCCGGCCUGAGAGGGUGACCGGCCACACUGGGACUGAGACACGGCCCAGACUCCUACGGGAGGCAGCAGUGGGGAAUAUUGGACAAUGGGCGCAAGCCUGAUCCAGCAACGCCGCGUGGAGGAUGAAGGCCUUCGGGUCGUAAACUCCUGUCAGUAGGGACGAAAAGCCUUUGGUCAAUAGCCUUGGGUCGUGACGGUACCUGCAGAGGAAGCCCCGGCUAACUCCGUGCCAGCAGCCGCGGUAAUACGGGGGGGGCAAGCGUUAUUCGGAAUUACUGGGCGUAAAGGGCGCGUAGGCGGCUUGGUAAGUGAAAGGUGAAAUCCCUCGGCUCAACCGAGGAACUGCCUUUCAAACUGCCUGGCUUGAGUCU